RNAcentral lists this non-coding RNA (90 nucleotides) under uncultured Fusobacterium sp. Its description in RNAcentral is "TPP riboswitch (THI element)". It matches the Rfam family "TPP riboswitch aptamer (THI element)", at positions 6 to 97 of the family's 105-position model. From Rfam's summary of the family: Vitamin B(1) in its active form thiamin pyrophosphate (TPP) is an essential coenzyme that is synthesised by coupling of pyrimidine and thiazole moieties in bacteria. The previously detected thiamin-regulatory element, thi box was extended, resulting in a new, highly conserved RNA secondary structure, the THI element, which is widely distributed in eubacteria and also occurs in some archaea. Lineage: Bacteria; Fusobacteriati; Fusobacteriota; Fusobacteriia; Fusobacteriales; Fusobacteriaceae. The record is from RNAcentral.
UUACUAGGGGAGCCGUAACUGGCUGAGAGGAGGUUCGACCUCGACUCUUAUUACUUGAACCAGAUAAUGCUGGCGAAAGGAAGUAAAAUU